Molecule: ribosomal RNA, 253 nt
Filed under: uncultured bacterium
Lineage: Bacteria
Description: partial 16S ribosomal RNA
Rfam family: Bacterial small subunit ribosomal RNA
Source: RNAcentral
GACGUAGGGCGCGAGCGUUGUCCGGAUUUAUUGGGCGUAAAGAGCUCGUAGGCGGCUUGUCGCGUCGACUGUGAAAACCCGCGGCUUAACUGCGGGACUGCAGACGAUACGGGCAGGCUAGAGUUCGGUAGGGGAGACUGGAAUUCCUGGUGUAGCGGUGAAAUGCGCAGAUAUCAGGAGGAACACCGGUGGCGAAGGCGGGUCUCUGGGCCGACACUGACGCUGAGGAGCGAAAGCGUGGGGAGCGAACAGG